AAUGUGAAUUGCAGAAUUCAGUGAAUCAUCGAAUCUUUGAACGCACCUUGCGCUCCUUGGUAUUCCGAGGAGCAUGCCUGUUUGAGUGUCAUGGUAUUCUCAACUCUUGCUUGUUUUACAAGCAUGGGCUGGAUGUGGAGGUUUUUGCCGGUGUUUGCCAUCGGCUCCUCUGAAAUACAUUAGUGUGGACCCUUCCAAGUGUUCCUUCAGUGUGAUAAUUGUCUACGCUGUGGGCGCGAGGAUUUCUGAAGUCCGUGCUUCAAACCGUCCUUUACAAGGACAAUUUCUUUGACAUCUGACCUCAAAUCAGGUAGGACUACCCGCUGAACUUAA
This 333-nucleotide ribosomal RNA is filed under the name uncultured fungus. RNAcentral describes it as "eukaryotic LSU rRNA". The stretch from base 1 to 91 matches the Rfam family "5.8S ribosomal RNA", at positions 64 to 154 of the family's 154-position model. Lineage: Eukaryota; Fungi. The record is from RNAcentral.